GUAGUCGUGACCGAGUGGCUAAUGCCGUGGACUAGAAAUCCAAUGGGAUCUUAAGGCGCAGGUUCGAAUCCUGCCGACUGCG
Non-coding RNA from Araneus ventricosus, 82 nucleotides. The record is from the annotation of a GenBank genome assembly. Lineage: Eukaryota; Metazoa; Arthropoda; Arachnida; Araneae; Araneidae.